UUAACUCGAAGUUUACUUUGAGAGCGGUUAGUGGCGGACUGGUGAGUAACACGUAAGCAACCUGCCUAUCAGAGGGGAAUAACAGUGAGAAAUCAUUGCUAAUACCGCAUAUGCUCACAGUACCACAUGGUACAGUGAGGAAAGGAGCAAUCCGCUGAUAGAUGGGCUUGCGUCUGAUUAGCUAGUUGGUGGGGUAACGGCCUACCAAGGCAACGAUCAGUAGCCGGACUGAGAGGUUGAACGGCCACAUUGGGACUGAGAUACGGCCCAGACUCCUACGGGAGGCAGCAGUCGGGAAUAUUGCGCAAUGGAGGAAACUCUGACGCAGUGACGCCGCGUAUAGGAAGAAGGUUUUCGGAUUGUAAACUAUUGUCGUUAGGGAAGAAAAAGGACAGUACCUAAGGAGGAAGCACCGGCUAACUAUGUGCCAGCAGCCGCGGUAAUACAUAGGGUGCAAGCGUUAUCCGGAAUUAUUGGGUGUAAAGGGUGCGUAGACGGGAAGGCAAGUUGGUUGUGAAAUCCCUCGGCUCAACUGAGGAACUGCAACCAAAACUACAUUUCUUGAGUGUCGGAGAGGAAAGUGGAAUUCCUAGUGUAGCGGUGAAAUGCGUAGAUAUUAGGAGGAACACCAGUGGCGAAGGCGACUUUCUGGACGAUAACUGACGUUGAGGCACGAAAGUGUGGGGAGCAAACAGG
Molecule: ribosomal RNA, 696 nt
Filed under: uncultured rumen bacterium
Lineage: Bacteria
Description: bacterial SSU rRNA
Rfam family: Bacterial small subunit ribosomal RNA
Source: RNAcentral